UUAAGCGACUAAGCGUACACGGUGGAUGCCUAGGCAGUCAGAGGCGAUGAAGGGCGUGCUAAUCUGCGAAAAGCGUCGGUAAGCUGAUAUGAAGCGUUAUAACCGACGAUACCCGAAUGGGGAAACCCAGUGCAAUACGUUGCACUAUCGUUAGAUGAAUACAUAGUCUAACGAGGCGAACCGGGGGAACUGAAACAUCUAAGUACCCCGAGGAAAAGAAAUCAACCGAGAUUCCCCCAGUAGCGGCGAGCGAACGGGGAGGAGCCCAGAGUCUGAAUCAGUUUGUGUGUUAGUGGAAGCGUCUGGAAAGUCGCACGGUACAGGGUGAUAGUCCCGUACACCAAAAUGCACAGGCUGUGAACUCGAUGAGUAGGGCGGGACACGUGACAUCCUGUCUGAAUAUGGGGGGACCAUCCUCCAAGGCUAAAUACUCCUGACUGACCGAUAGUGAACCAGUACCGUGAGGGAAAGGCGAAAAGAACCCCGGCGAGGGGAGUGAAAUAGAACCUGAAACCGUGUACGUACAAGCAGUGGGAGCACCUUCGUGGUGUGACUGCGUACCUUUUGUAUAAUGGGUCAGCGACUUAUAUUUUGUAGCAAGGUUAACCGAAUAGGGGAGCCGUAGGGAAACCGAGUCUUAACUGGGCGUCUAGUUGCAAGGUAUAGACCCGAAACCCGGUGAUCUAGCCAUGGGCAGGUUGAAGGUUGGGUAACACUAACUGGAGGACCGAACCGACUAAUGUUGAAAAAUUAGCGGAUGACUUGUGGCUGGGGGUGAAAGGCCAAUCAAACCGGGAGAUAGCUGGUUCUCCCCGAAAGCUAUUUAGGUAGCGCCUCGUGAACUCAUCUUCGGGGGUAGAGCACUGUUUCGGCUAGGGGGCCAUCCCGGCUUACCAAACCGAUGCAAACUCCGAAUACCGAAGAAUGUUAUCACGGGAGACACACGGCGGGUGCUAACGUCCGUCGUGAAGAGGGAAAUAACCCAGACCGCCAGCUAAGGUCCCAAAGUCAUGGUUAAGUGGGAAACGAUGUGGGAAGGCACAGACAGCCAGGAUGUUGGCUUAGAAGCAGCCAUCAUUUAAAGAAAGCGUAAUAGCUCACUGGUCGAGUCGGCCUGCGCGGAAGAUGUAACGGGGCUAAACCAUGCACCGAAGCUGCGGCAGCGACGUUUAGGCGUUGUUGGGUAGGGGAGCGUUCUGUAAGCCGUUGAAGGUGACCUGUGAGGGUUGCUGGAGGUAUCAGAAGUGCGAAUGCUGACAUAAGUAACGAUAAUGCGGGUGAAAAACCCGCACGCCGGAAGACCAAGGGUUCCUGUCCAACGUUAAUCGGGGCAGGGUGAGUCGACCCCUAAGGCGAGGCUGAAAAGCGUAGUCGAUGGGAAACAGGUUAAUAUUCCUGUACUUGGUGUUACUGCGAAGGGGGACGGAGAAGGCUAGGCUGGCCGGGCGACGGUUGUCCCGGUUUAAGCGUGUAGGGGGAGUGACCAGGUAAAUCCGGUUGCUUAUCAACCCUGAGGCGUGAUGACGAUGCACUACGGUGCAGAAGCAGUUGAUGCCAUGCUUCCAGGAAAAGCCUCUAAGCAUCAGGUAACAUUAAAUCGUACCCCAAACCGACACAGGUGGUCAGGUAGAGAAUACUCAGGCGCUUGAGAGAACUCGGGUGAAGGAACUAGGCAAAAUGGUGCCGUAACUUCGGGAGAAGGCACGCUGGCGUUAGGUGAAAGGACUAGCUCCUGGAGCUGAAGCCAGUCGCAGAUACCAGCUGGCUGCAACUGUUUAAUAAAAACACAGCACUGUGCAAACACGAAAGUGGACGUAUACGGUGUGACGCCUGCCCGGUGCUGGAAGGUUAAUUGAUGGGGUCAGCCGCAAGGCGAAGCUCUUGAUCGAAGCCCCAGUAAACGGCGGCCGUAACUAUAACGGUCCUAAGGUAGCGAAAUUCCUUGUCGGGUAAGUUCCGACCUGCACGAAUGGCGUAAUGAUGGCCAGGCUGUCUCCACCCGAGACUCAGUGAAAUUGAACUCGCUGUGAAGAUGCAGUGUACCCGCGGCAAGACGGAAAGACCCCGUGAACCUUUACUAUAGCUUGACACUGAACAUUGAGCCUUGAUGUGUAGGAUAGGUGGGAGGCCUUGAAGUGUGGACGCCAGUCUGCAUGGAGCCAACCUUGAAAUACCACCCUUUAAUGUUUGAUGUUCUAACUCGGCCCCAUGAUCUGGGGUGAGGACAGUGUCUGGUGGGUAGUUUGACUGGGGCGGUCUCCUCCCAAAGAGUAACGGAGGAGCACGAAGGUUAGCUAAUCACGGUCGGACAUCGUGAGGUUAGUGCAAAGGCAUAAGCUAGCUUGACUGCGAGAGUGACGGCUCGAGCAGGUACGAAAGUAGGUCUUAGUGAUCCGGUGGUUCUGAAUGGAAGGGCCAUCGCUCAACGGAUAAAAGGUACUCCGGGGAUAACAGGCUGAUACCGCCCAAGAGUUCAUAUCGACGGCGGUGUUUGGCACCUCGAUGUCGGCUCAUCACAUCCUGGGGCUGAAGUAGGUCCCAAGGGUAUGGCUGUUCGCCAUUUAAAGUGGUACGCGAGCUGGGUUUAGAACGUCGUGAGACAGUUCGGUCCCUAUCUGCCGUGGGCGUUGGAAGAUUGAGAGGGGCUGCUCCUAGUACGAGAGGACCGGAGUGGACGAAUCACUGGUGUUCGGGUUGUCAUGCCAAUGGCAUUGCCCGGUAGCUAAAUUCGGAAGAGAUAACCGCUGAAAGCAUCUAAGCGGGAAACUUGCCUCGAGAUGAGUCUUCCCUGGGGCUUAAAGCCCCCUGAAGGAACGUUAAAGACUAUGACGUUGAUAGGCUGGGUGUGUAAGUGCAGCGAUGUAUUGAGCUAACCAGUACUAAUGAUCCGUGAGGCUUAACCUU
RNAcentral lists this ribosomal RNA (2904 nucleotides) under Yersinia pseudotuberculosis. Its description in RNAcentral is "bacterial LSU rRNA". It matches the Rfam family "Bacterial large subunit ribosomal RNA". The record is from RNAcentral. Lineage: Bacteria; Pseudomonadati; Pseudomonadota; Gammaproteobacteria; Enterobacterales; Yersiniaceae.